RNAcentral lists this ribosomal RNA (662 nucleotides) under uncultured Acidobacteriota bacterium. Its description in RNAcentral is "bacterial SSU rRNA". It matches the Rfam family "Bacterial small subunit ribosomal RNA", at positions 60 to 732 of the family's 1533-position model. Lineage: Bacteria; Pseudomonadati; Acidobacteriota. The record is from RNAcentral.
AGUCGAACGAGAAAGCUGGUAGCAAUACCGGUGAGUACAGUGGCGCACGGGUGAGUAACACGUGGAUAAUCUGCCUCGGAAUGGGGAAUAACUUUGGGAAACCGAAGCUAAUACCGCAUAACAAUUUGGGACUGCGGUCCUGAAUUUGAAACUCGCAAGAGGUUCCGAGAGGAGUCCGCGGCUGAUUAGCUAGUUGGCGGGGUAACGGCCCACCAAGGCUUUGAUCGGUAGCCGGCCUGAGAGGGCGGACGGCCACACUGGAACUGAAACACGGUCCAGACUCCUACGGGAGGCAGCAGUGGGGAAUUUUGCGCAAUGGGGGAAACCCUGACGCAGCAACGCCGCGUGGACGAUGAAGCUUCUUGGAGUGUAAAGUCCUUUCGGCAGGGACGAAUCAGUUGACGGUACCUGCAGAAGAAGCCCCGGCUAACUCCGUGCCAGCAGCCGCGGUAAUACGGGGGGGGCGAGCGUUGUUCGGAAUUAUUGGGCGUAAAGGGUGCGUAGGCGGUGCGGUAAGUUUGGUGUGAAACCUCCAGGCUCAACUUGGAGCUUGCACCAAAAACUGCCGUGCUAGAGUGUGGGAGAGGAGAGUGGAAUUCCCGGUGUAGCGGUGAAAUGCGUAGAUAUCGGGAGGAACAUCGGUGGCGAAGGCGGCUCUCUGG